GACGAACGCUGGCGGCGUGCUUAACACAUGCAAGUCGAACGGAAAGGCCCUGCUUUUGUGGGGUGCUCGAGUGGCGAACGGGUGAGUAACACGUGAGUAACCUGCCCUUGACUUUGGGAUAACUUCAGGAAACUGGGGCUAAUACCGGAUAGGAGCUCCUGCUGCAUGGUGGGGGUUGGAAAGUUUCGGCGGUUGGGGAUGGACUCGCGGCUUAUCAGCUUGUUGGUGGGGUAGUGGCUUACCAAGGCUUUGACGGGUAGCCGGCCUGAGAGGGUGACCGGCCACAUUGGGACUGAGAUACGGCCCAGACUCCUACGGGAGGCAGCAGUGGGGAAUAUUGCACAAUGGGCGGUAGCCUGAUGCAGCAACGCCGCGUGCGGGAUGACGGCCUUCGGGUUGUAAACCGCUUUCGCCUGUGACGAAGCGUGAGUGACGGUAAUGGGUAAAGAAGCACCGGCUAACUACGUG
This 468-nucleotide ribosomal RNA is filed under the name uncultured bacterium. RNAcentral's name for it is "partial 16S ribosomal RNA". It matches the Rfam family "Bacterial small subunit ribosomal RNA", at positions 28 to 507 of the family's 1533-position model. The record is from RNAcentral.